RNAcentral lists this ribosomal RNA (497 nucleotides) under uncultured bacterium. Its description in RNAcentral is "partial 16S ribosomal RNA". It matches the Rfam family "Bacterial small subunit ribosomal RNA", at positions 28 to 507 of the family's 1533-position model. The record is from RNAcentral.
GAUGAACGCUGGCGGCGUGCCUAACACAUGCAAGUCGAGCGAACGGACCAGAACUUUGCUCUUCUGAUGUUAGCGGCGGACGGGAGCGUAACUCGUGGACAACCUACCUAUACGACUGGGAUAACUUCGCGAAACCGGAGCUAAUACCGGAUAAUAUUUUGACCCGCAUGGUUCACACGUGAAAGACGGUCUUUCUGUCACUUAUAGAUGGAUCCGCGCUGCAUGAGCUAGUUGGUAAGGUAACGGCUUAACAACGCAGCGAUGCAUAACCGACCUGAGAGGGUGAUCGGCUAGCCGGGAAGAGAGGCAGAGUCCAGACUCCGGCGGGGGGAAGCGGUAGGGAAUCUUCCGGGAGGGACGAGUGGGGGACGGAGCAACGCCGCGUGAGGGAUGAAGGUCUACGGAUGGGAGAGCGAUGUAAGUAGGGAGGUAGAAAAGUGUAAGUAACUGUGCAGAUAAUGACGGUACCGAAACAAAAAGCCCCGGCUAACUACGUG